Molecule: long non-coding RNA, 859 nt
Organism: Heterocephalus glaber (naked mole-rat)
Lineage: Eukaryota; Metazoa; Chordata; Mammalia; Rodentia; Bathyergidae
Source: RefSeq, a predicted model, not a curated record
CUCGGCAAGCUGGAACAGUGGUUUUGUGGGCAUGACUGAAAGCCUUUAAAGGCGCAAAGGCCAUGUCUUGCCUCUGAUUUAUUACUUCCUGAAUGGGUAUUAUAGAAUGAUCCCUUCUGCUCCCAACCUGUGCUGCUAGAAGGAGGUAGGAGGGAACAAAGACAUAGCCUCAUAUUUCAUUCAGGAAAUGAGACUGAGUACAACAAACACAAAUCAUUGAGACUGACAGAGCAUAUUGGGUUCAAAACCCAACCCCUGACUCUAAUUGCUCUCCAAAGGCCCCUGGCUCAAGGCUCUCAGCCCACCCAUCCUUCCCAAUCUUUCAUUUUUGGUCUCCAAUGGACACCAUAGUUCUGUGGACCAGAGUACAGGCAUUGGAACAAGCUCACUCUGACAUUUUCGACUGCUUGAGAGAUCUGAACUGCUCUCCCCAGGGACCUCAAUUAUAAAAGAGAGCAUCAUCCAACUAAAUGUGAUCAACACUGUACCAGUGGAAAUUCCAUGCACCACAUCUGGUCAAAGGCAAUUAAGAGAAGAUGUGAGUUCUUCAUAAACCCGACUCACCACCAGAAAGUCAUGAUUGAUAUGACAGCACCACACGAUGGCUCAUCCUGGAACUCUGUGUAACAAUGUAGGGUAGGAUUCCAUCAUUCACAUUAGACACAGAAGGUGAAAAAGAAGCAGCUCUGCUAUAUAAAUCAUUUAGAUUAGGAGGUUACUUUGUCACUGGAGGAAACCUACCUUCCUAUUUACCUAUGAAUCUAGGUAGGUGGAUACAUAGAAUUCUUUUAUCUAGAUAUAUUUAUUAUUUGAACUUAUUUAAAUAUAAACCACAUCUUCAGUUAUAUGUUGGAUAUAU